AUUUAAACCAACGAAGUAUUAUCUAAACACUCAGAAUCCAUCUCUAACUCAUAUAAUUAGUCAAAUGCAUUAGAUUGUGAUACAUUUUGACCAUUAAAACACUAACAAAGCUAUUUACUGCUUCUAACCAAUUUUUUGUUGGUUUUGCCCUCUUCUAGGAGAAAAUGGGUAUAAUUGUUGUCUAAACACUCUGAUCUAUCUCUAACUCAUAUAAUUAGUCAAAUACUUUAGAUUGUUACAAAAUUUCACCAUAGAAACACUAACAAAGCUAUUUAGUGCUUCUAAGCAAUUUUUUGUUGGUUUUAGCUUGUUUUGAGACAAAAUGGGAAUAAGUGUUGCCUAAACACUCCUAAUCCAUAUUUAACUCAUCUAAUUAGUCAAAUGCAUCGGAUUGUAACACAUUUUGACCAUAAAAACACUAACAAAGCUAUUUACUGCUUCUAACAAUUAUUUGUUGGUUUUAUCCUCUUCUAGGAGAAAAUGGUUAUAAGUGUUUGCUAAACGCUCCUAAUCUAUCUCUAACUCAUAUAAUUAGUUAAAAGUUUUGGAUUGUGACAAAAUUUGACCAUAGAAACACUAACAAAGCUAAUUAGUGUUUCUAAGCAAUUUUUUGUUUGUUUUAGCUUCUUUUGAGACAAAAUGUGUAUAAUUGUUGUCUAAACACUCCUAAUCCAUCUCUAACUCAACUAAUUAGUCAAAUGCAUUGGAUACUAACAUAUUUUAACAAUAGAAACAUUAACAAAGCUAUUGACUGCUUGUAAGCAAUUUUUGUUGGUUUUAGCGUUUUUUGGGACAAAAUGGGUAUAAGUGAUGUUAAAACACUCCUAAUACAUCUCUAACUCAUAUAAUUAGUCAAAUGCAUUAGAUUGUGACACAUUUAGACCAUUGAAACACUAACAAAGCUAUUUACUGCUUCUAAGCAAUGUUUUGUUGGUUUUAGUCUCUUUUGGGACAAAAUGGGUAUAAGUACUGUCUAAACAGUCCUAAUCCAUCUCUAACUUUUGUAAUUAGUCAAAUGCAUUGGAUUAUGACACAUUUUGACCAUAGAAACACUAACAAAGCUGUUUACUGCAUCUGAGCAAUUUUUUGUCUGUUUUAUUUACUUUUGGGACAAAAUGGGUAUAAGUGUUGUCUAAACACUCCUAAUCCAUCUUUAACUUUUAUAAUUAGUCAAAUGCAUUGGAUUGUAACACAUUUUGACCAAAGAAACACUAACAAAGCUAUUGACUGCUUCUAAGCAAUUUGUUUUUGGUUUUAGACUCUCUUGGGAGAAAAUAGGUAUGAAUGUUGUCUAAACACUCCUAAUCCAUCUUUAACUUUCCUAAUUAGUCAAAUGCAAUGGAUUCUGACACAUUUUAACCAUAGAAACACUAACAAAGAUAUUGACUACUUCUAAGCAAUUUUUUGUUGGUUUUAGCAUCUUUUGGGAGAAAAUGGGUAUAAGUGUUGUCUAAACACACCUAAUCCAUAUUUAAAUCUUAUAAUUAGUCAAAUGCAUUAGAUUGUAACACAUUUUGACCAUAGAAACCCUAACAAAGCUAUUUAGUGCUUCUAAGCAAUUUUUUGGUUGUUUUAGCCUCUUUUGGGAUAAAAUGGGUAUAAGUGUUGUCUAAACACUCCUAAUCCAUCUUUAACUCUUCUAAUUAGUCAAAUGCAUUGGAUUCUGACACAAUUAACCGUAGAAACACUAACAAAGCUAUUGGCUGCUUUUAAGCAAUGUUUUGUUGGUUUUAGCCUCUUUUGGGAGAAAAUGGUUGUAAGUGUUAUCUGAACACUCCUAAUCUAUCUCUACCUCAUAUAAUUAGUCAAAUGCAUUGGAUUCUGACACAAUUAACCAUAGAAACACUAACAAAGUUAUUUAGUGCUUCUAAGCAAUGUUUUGUUGGUUUUAGCCUCUUUUGGGAGAAAAUAGGUAUAAGUGUUGUCUAAACACCCUUAAUCCAACUGUAACUCAUAUAAUUAGUCAAAUGCAUUGUAUUGUGAUAAAUGUUGACCAUUGAAAAAGUAACAAAGCUAUUCACUGCUUCCAAGCAAUUUUUUGUUGGUUUUAGCCUCUUCUAGGUGAAAAUGGGUAUAAGUGUUGUCUAAAUACUCAUAAUCCAUCUCUAACUCAUAUAAUUAGUCAAAUGCAUCAGAUUGUGUUACAUUUUGACCAUAAAAACAUUAAGAA
RNAcentral lists this small RNA (2170 nucleotides) under Arabidopsis thaliana (thale cress). Its description in RNAcentral is "ATSL204860". The record is from RNAcentral. Lineage: Eukaryota; Viridiplantae; Streptophyta; Magnoliopsida; Brassicales; Brassicaceae.